RNAcentral lists this ribosomal RNA (250 nucleotides) under uncultured prokaryote. RNAcentral describes it as "partial 16S ribosomal RNA". It matches the Rfam family "Bacterial small subunit ribosomal RNA", at positions 524 to 773 of the family's 1533-position model. The record is from RNAcentral.
UACGGAGGAUCCGAGCGUUAUCCGGAUUUACUGGGCGUAAAGCGCGUGUAGGAGGCAAAUCAAGUUGGAUGUAAAAUCUCCCGGCUUAACUGGGAGGCGUCGUUCAAAACUGAUUAGCUAGAGUAGUGGAGAGGUAAUCGGAACUCAGGGAGUAGCGGUGAAAUGCGUAGAUAUCCGGAAGAACACCAGAGGCGAAAGCGGAUUACUGGCCACCAACUGACACUGAGACGCGAAAGCCAGGGUAGCAAAC